This 396-nucleotide ribosomal RNA is filed under the name uncultured bacterium. Its description in RNAcentral is "partial 16S ribosomal RNA". It matches the Rfam family "Bacterial small subunit ribosomal RNA", at positions 523 to 918 of the family's 1533-position model. The record is from RNAcentral.
AUACGUAGGGAGCGAGCGUUGUCCGGAAUUACUGGGUGUAAAGGGAGCGUAGGCGGGAGUGCAAGUCAGAUGUGAAAUACAUGGGCUCAACCCAUGGGCUGCAUUUGAAACUGCAUUUCUUGAGUGAAGUAGAGGUAAGCGGAAUUCCUGGUGUAGCGGUGAAAUGCGUAGAUAUCAGGAGGAACACCGGUGGCGAAGGCGGCUUACUGGGCUUUUACUGACGCUGAGGCUCGGAAGCGUGGGGAGCAAACAGGAUUAGAUCCCCUGGUAGUCCGCGCUGUAAACGAUGAUUACUAGGUGUGGGGGGACUGACCCCUUCCGUGCCGCAGUUAACACAAUAAGUAAUCCACCUGGGGAGUACGGCCGCAAGGUUGAAACUCAAAUGAAUUGACGGGG